Molecule: long non-coding RNA, 1050 nt
Organism: Lycium ferocissimum
Lineage: Eukaryota; Viridiplantae; Streptophyta; Magnoliopsida; Solanales; Solanaceae
Exons: 3
Source: RefSeq, a predicted model, not a curated record
UUGGCGGAGCCGAUAUCGAUCUUUAAACGACCAGGUGAUAGGUCAAAAAAAAAUGUGUGAGACCAUUGAAUCAAAUGGAGGAUAAAUCGGCAUCGACACUUCUCUUGUUAAAUUGCCCAGAAGUUCAACCUUAUUAUGAUCUCUUUGUGGAGAUACAUGGCCAAGAAAAAGUGCACGACCAAUUUGCAAUGUGGUUUAACAAUUACGUUCGCAAUACACCUUGUGGUUUUUAUGAACAAGUUUUGAAGGACUUAUCUUGGGGACCCAUUGGUGCCGAUUGUAUGGACAAAUAUGUGGUUAAUGGUUUCAAAUUUAAUACCCGAGAAUGUGCUAAACCAUAUGAAAACUAAUAACAGUGGUGUGUGGGUUAAAAGUGUUGAUGGUGUUGAUUUUUUUGGUGUAAUCGAAGAGAUUUUAGAAUUAGAGUAUUCUGGUUGGCCAAAAAAAAAAAAUUGUUCUGUUUCGGUGCAACUGGUUUGAUCCAACCCCAAAAAGAGGCACGAGGGUACUGAAAGAUUCCAAUAUCAUUGAAGUAAAGCACACGCAGAGGUAUGUAGCUUAUGAUCCUUUCGUCAUUGCACAUAACGUCAAGCAGGUGUACUAUGUCCCUUAUCCAUUGCGACCAAAUAAGUCAGAUUGGUGGGUGGUAAUUAAAACCAAGCCUGUUGGUUGCGUGGAAGUUGAGAAUGACCUGUUUGCUGCCUUUCAGAAUGACUACAUAGCACACGUUAACCAAAUAGUCGACCCUAAGUUAGAAAUUGAACUGGAGCAUGUAGAACAUAUAUUAGAAGAAAUCGAUAUAGAAGAACUUAAUGAAGUAUUAGAAUAAAAUGAUGAAAGUGAAACAGGCGAUGAGGAAGAAUGGUCAGACGAGAGAGAAAGUGAUGAAAAUUAGCAUGUUUUUCAUUUUAGAACUAUUAUAUAUGUGUCGUUUUAUUUAUUUGAUUGUAAGACUUAUUAGUAUCCGAAUACUUAAGCUUCCUUUUGUAUUAUGAGUUAUGAUUGUUGUGCACUAUCUGAUAAUUUUAUGAAAUUAUGAAAAAUGAUUGU